RNAcentral lists this ribosomal RNA (492 nucleotides) under uncultured bacterium. RNAcentral describes it as "partial 16S ribosomal RNA". It matches the Rfam family "Bacterial small subunit ribosomal RNA", at positions 29 to 507 of the family's 1533-position model. The record is from RNAcentral.
AGUGAACGCUGGCGGUAGGCCUAACACAUGCAAGUCGAACGGCAGCACAGUAAGAGCUUGCUCUUACGGGUGGCGAGUGGCGGACGGGUGAGGAAUACAUCGGAAUCUACUUUUUCGUGGGGGAUAACGUAGGGAAACUUACGCUAAUCCCGCAUACGACCUACGGGUGAAAGCAGGGGAUCUUCGGCCCUUGCGCGAUUGAAUGAGCCGAUGUCGGAUUAGCUAGUUGGCGGGGUAAAGGCCCACCAAGGCGACGAUCCGUAGCUGGUCUGAGAGGAUGAUCAGCCACACUGGAACUGAGACACGGUCCAGACUCCUACGGGAGGCAGCAGUGGGGAAUAUUGGACAAUGGGCGCAAGCCUGAUCCAGCCAUACCGCGUGUGUGAAGAAGGCCUUCGGGUUGUAAAGCCCUUUUGUUGGGAAAGAAAAGCAGCAGGUUAAUACCCCGCUGUUCUGACGGUACCCAAAGAAUAAGCACCGGCUAACUUCGUG